UACGGAGGGUGCUAGCGUUGUUCGGAAUCACUGGGCGUAAAGGGCGUGUAGGCGGUCUGCUAAGUCUGAUGUGAAAGCCCGGGGCUCACCCCCGGAAGGGCAUUGGAAACUGGCGGACUCGAGUCCCGGAGAGGAGAGUGGAAUUCCUGGUGUAGCGGUGAAAUGCGUAGAUAUGAGGAGGAACAUCGAUGGCGAAGGCAGCUCUCUGGACGGUGACUGACGCUGAGGCGCGAAAGCGUGGGGAGCAAACAGG
RNAcentral lists this ribosomal RNA (253 nucleotides) under uncultured bacterium. RNAcentral describes it as "partial 16S ribosomal RNA". It matches the Rfam family "Bacterial small subunit ribosomal RNA", at positions 524 to 776 of the family's 1533-position model. The record is from RNAcentral.